UGUCAUAGAGCACCCAAAAAGGUGAUAAUCACU
Molecule: non-coding RNA, 33 nt
Filed under: Mus musculus (house mouse)
Lineage: Eukaryota; Metazoa; Chordata; Mammalia; Rodentia; Muridae
Source: RNAcentral